AUUGAACGCUGGCGGCAUGCCUUACACAUGCAAGUCGAACGGUAACAGGUCUUCGGAUGCUGACGAGUGGCGAACGGGUGAGUAAUACAUCGGAACGUGCCCAGACGUGGGGGAUAACGAGGCGAAAGCUUUGCUAAUACCGCAUACGAUCUAAGGAUGAAAGCAGGGGACCGCAAGGCCUUGCGCGUUUGGAGCGGCCGAUGGCAGAUUAGGUAGUUGGUGGGAUAAAAGCUUACCAAGCCGACGAUCUUUAGCUGGUCUGAGAGGACGACCAGCCACACUGGGACUGAGACACGGCCCAGACUCCUACGGGAGGCAGCAGUGGGGAAUUUUGGACAAUGGGCGAAAGCCUGAUCCAGCAAUGCCGCGUGCAGGAUGAAGGCCUUCGGGUUGUAAACUGCUUUUGUACGGAACGAAAAGGCUCUGGCUAAUACCUGGGGCACAUGACGGUACCGUAAGAAUAAGCACCGGCUAACUACGUG
RNAcentral lists this ribosomal RNA (482 nucleotides) under uncultured bacterium. RNAcentral describes it as "partial 16S ribosomal RNA". It matches the Rfam family "Bacterial small subunit ribosomal RNA", at positions 30 to 507 of the family's 1533-position model. The record is from RNAcentral.